UUUUGAGGCUGGGGUGGAGAUAAAAUUCUAACUUGUUAAUCACUGGUCCAUAUGUGAGUCCCUUUCUCAACCAUUUGACAAGAGUGCACCAUAGACAGUUUGCCAGAACUAAAAAGCUUUCCAACUGAUGUCCUGAUUAGACUUGUGUAUGAUGUCCCCCCGAUGGCCCUGCUUUCCUCUAUGUAUGGGACCCUUUUCCUUAGUCAUCAACUUGUAUUCUGUGUCCUUAGUUGUCUGGUCUCAGUGGGACUGUGUGAAUCUUGAUAACUCACUAUACCAUUGGGUACCAUUGGGCAGAGUAACUUUUUGGUCCUUUAGAUUUUGCCUGACUUUAGUAUUCUAUUUAUCUUACAGCAAGCAGCUCUGUGCUACAAUGGAACGUGCCUUGUUCUUCUAGAAAACAAGAUAAUAUGAGUCACUCUAAACUCUUCACUCUAUGGUCGAGUCUGUUUUGUGACGUGGGAGGCCUAGAAAAAGCAAGCUGGCUCUGUGCUAUGAUGGAAUGUACCUUGGUCUUCUACAAAACAAGCAAGCAGCUCUGUGCUACAAUGGAACGUGCCCUGGUCUUCUAGAAAACAAGGUAAGAGAUCCCAUUCUUUGAGUCACUAAAUUUUUACUCUAUGGUCGAGUCUAUUUGUGCCGUGGGAGGCCUAGGAAAGGUCAGAAUGAUAGUGGUGCAAAACGUCCCUUAAAACCAUCACUGACCUGGGGAAGAAAACUUAGAGAUUCAAUUCACUAGGGGUGCCUAAUAUUUUUCCACACCCCUAUGAAUAAGAGAUUUUAGAAGUUUAGGUAAGCUCUGUUGGUGGGGAGGCUGUUAAAAUUGGGGGGUUGUGUGUCCAAACUGGGUGCCACUAGCAGUUUGGAGCUUGAAUUCUGACAAAACAUUUGUAGGUAUAAGUGUGAUGUACUGUACUGUCUCUCAGCAUGUGUGAGUGUAAAGCUUUUAGGUUCCCUGGCUCUGUGGUACAAUGGGUUGAGCAUUGGACAAAUAGUCAAUCAAGUUUUUCAAAGGUUGAGCAUUCAAGUCCCACCAGUCAACUAAUAGAGGUAAUACCCAGCUUGUUAAUCAUAGGAGAUCAAUAUGUGAGGCCCCUUCCUAAGUGCAACAUGGACAAAACUAAAAAGCAGUUCAACUGAUGUCCUGAUUACACUUGUGUAUGUCGGCUUAAAGAAAUGGGUCUGCUUUGUGCCCCAUCUCUAUUUAUGCGGAGGUCCAAAAAUGUCUGCUUUCAUGUUUUUGCUGAAAGUGUGAUGUAAUGUACUGUCUGACAGUGUGUGUGGGUUGUGACUAUGCUGGUGCCUUUGUGGUACAGUGACUGUUUUAUUGGACUUCUAGUUGAUCAAACUAAGGUUUUUAAUGGCUCCACUGCUCUCAACAUGUGUAUUUUUUGCAGGCUGUGA
This is a long non-coding RNA of Xenopus laevis (African clawed frog), 1404 nucleotides long. RefSeq lists it as uncharacterized. The transcript is spliced from 3 exons. The record is from RefSeq and is a predicted model, not a curated record. Lineage: Eukaryota; Metazoa; Chordata; Amphibia; Anura; Pipidae.